Long non-coding RNA from Dermochelys coriacea (leatherback sea turtle), 401 nucleotides. RefSeq lists it as uncharacterized. NCBI's taxonomy places the organism in Eukaryota, Metazoa, Chordata, Testudines, Dermochelyidae. The record is from RefSeq and is a predicted model, not a curated record. The transcript is spliced from 4 exons.
UUCUAAUAUAGCCAUGGCAAGAAAACCCUCCAAAUAUUAAUGAUUAACCUGUUGAAUUGGAGAUAGUUCACCUCCCAAUGACUUCAUAAAUAUCUGUUUCAAUUACCUCUGGUAAAUGAAAUACCCAAUCAUUCAUUUUCUGAUAUAGCUGUAAAACUAUUCUGAACAGUUUUCAAAAAUAAAUCACUUUAAAAAUGUAUAGUGUGUACCUUCUAAAAAUGAAACCUACAACUAUCUCUGAGUUGUGAAGAAUAUGUAUGAAGGUUAUAACCACCAACAAGACUGCACUUUUAUGUAGAAAUCCAUGAUUAAAUAUAGAGUCUUCCUGACUAGUAAUUUAAAUCAAUUUGAUUUAAAUCAAAUCCACCAUGGAAUUUGCGGUGUGGGCUUGCCAGAUGCAC